ACUCCUACGGGAGGCCGCAGUGGGGAAUUUUGGACAAUGGGCGAAAGCCUGAUCCAGCCAUGCCGCGUGAGUGAAGAAGGCCAUGGGGUUGUAAAGCUCUUUUAGUCGGAAAGAAAGAGUUGCAAUGAAUAAUUGUGAUUUAUGACGGUACCCACAGAAAAAGCACCGGCUAACUACGUGCCAGCAGCCGCGGUAAU
RNAcentral lists this ribosomal RNA (197 nucleotides) under uncultured bacterium. Its description in RNAcentral is "partial 16S ribosomal RNA". It matches the Rfam family "Bacterial small subunit ribosomal RNA", at positions 335 to 524 of the family's 1533-position model. The record is from RNAcentral.